AAAGUCUGACCGACCAACGCCGCGUGAGGGAUGAAGGCCCUAGUGGUUGUAAACCUCUGUCAGGAGGGGAUAAAGCGUCGAGGUUAAUNCCCUCUACGUCUGAAGGUACCUCCAAAGGAAGCUCCGGCUAACUCCGUGCCAGCAGCCGCGGUAAUACGGAGGNAGCAAACGUUGUUCGNAUUUACUGGGUGUAAAGGGUGCGUAGUCGGCUAUGUGUGUNAGAGGUGAAAUCCCACGGCUCAACCGUGGAAAUGCCUUUGAAACUGCAUGGCUUGAGUCCGAGAGAGGAAGACGGAAUUCCUGGUGUAACGGUGAAAUGUGCAGAUAUCAGNAANAACACCGGUGGCGAAGNCGGUNUUNUGGCUCGGUNCUAACGNUNAGGCACNAAAGCUAGGGUAUCAANCGGNAUUAGAUACCCCGGUAGUCCUANCCGUAANCNAUGUCAAUUAGGUGUCG
This 456-nucleotide ribosomal RNA is filed under the name uncultured Terriglobales bacterium. RNAcentral describes it as "uncultured Acidobacteriales bacterium partial 16S ribosomal RNA". It matches the Rfam family "Bacterial small subunit ribosomal RNA", at positions 378 to 825 of the family's 1533-position model. Lineage: Bacteria; Pseudomonadati; Acidobacteriota; Terriglobia; Terriglobales. The record is from RNAcentral.